This 255-nucleotide ribosomal RNA is filed under the name uncultured bacterium. Its description in RNAcentral is "partial 16S ribosomal RNA". It matches the Rfam family "Bacterial small subunit ribosomal RNA", at positions 524 to 776 of the family's 1533-position model. The record is from RNAcentral.
UACGGAGGGGGCUAGCGUUGUUCGGAAUCACUGGGCGUAAAGCGCACGUAGGCGGCUUUUUAAGUCAGGGGUGAAAUCCUGGAGCUCAACUCCAGAACUGCCUUUGAUACUGAGAGGCUCGAGUCCGGGAGAGGUGAGUGGAAUUCCGAGUGUAGAGGUGAAAUUCGUAGAUAUUCGGAGGAACACCAGUGGCGAAGGGCGGCUCACUGGCUCGGUACUGACGCUGAGGUGGCGAAAGCGUGGGGAGCAAACAGG